Molecule: ribosomal RNA, 497 nt
Filed under: uncultured bacterium
Lineage: Bacteria
Description: partial 16S ribosomal RNA
Rfam family: Bacterial small subunit ribosomal RNA
Source: RNAcentral
GGCGAACGCUGGCGGCGUGCCUAAUACAUGCAAGUUGAGCGCUGAAGGUUGGUACUUGUACCAACUGGAUGAGCAGCGAACGGGUGAGUAACGCGUGGGGAAUCUGCCUUUGAGCGGGGGACAACAUUUGGAAACGAAUGCUAAUACCGCAUAAAAACUUUAAACACAAGUUUUAAGUUUGAAAGAUGCAAUUGCAUCACUCAAAGAUGAUCCCGCGUUGUAUUAGCUAGUUGGUGAGGUAAAGGCUCACCAAGGCGAUGAUACAUAGCCGACCUGAGAGGGUGAUCGGCCGCAUUGGGACUGAGACACGGCCCAAACUCCUACGGGAGGCAGCAGUAGGGAAACUUCGGCAAUGGACGAAAGUCUGACCGAGCAACGCCGCGUGAGUGAAGAAGGUUUUCGGAUCGUAAAACUCUGUUGGUAGAGAAGAACGUUGGUGAGAGUGGAAAGCUCAUCAAGUGACGGUAACUACCCAGAAAGGGACGGCUAACUACGUG